Molecule: transfer RNA, 72 nt
Filed under: Magnaporthiopsis poae ATCC 64411
Lineage: Eukaryota; Fungi; Ascomycota; Sordariomycetes; Magnaporthales; Magnaporthaceae
Description: tRNA-Glu (CTC) (tRNA-Glu-CTC-5-1)
Rfam family: tRNA
About the family: Transfer RNA (tRNA) molecules are approximately 80 nucleotides in length. Their secondary structure includes four short double-helical elements and three loops (D, anti-codon, and T loops).
Source: RNAcentral
UCCGAUAUGGUGUAGUGGUCAACAUUCGGCACUCUCAUUGCUGGGCCCGGGGUUCGAUUCCCCGUAUCGGAA